AGUGAACGCUGGCGGUAGGCCUAACACAUGCAAGUCGAACGGCAGCACAGUAAGAGCUUGCUCUUACGGGUGGCGAGUGGCGGACGGGUGAGGAAUACAUCGGAAUCUACUUUUUCGUGGGGGAUAACGUAGGGAAACUUACGCUAAUACCGCAUACGACCUACGGGUGAAAGCAGGGGAUCUUCGGACCUUGCGCGAUUGAAUGAGCCGAUGUCGGAUUAGCUAGUUGGCGGGGUAAAGGCCCGCCAAGGCGACGAUCCGUAGCUGGUCUGAGAGGAUGAUCAGCCACACUGGAACUGAGACACGGUCCAGACUCCUACGGGAGGCAGCAGUGGGGAAUAUUGGACAAUGGGCGCAAGCCUGAUCCAGCCAUACCGCGUGGGUGAAGAAGGCCUUCGGGUUGUAAAGCCCUUUUGUUGGGAAAGAAAAGCAGCAGGUUAAUACCCCGCCGUUCUGACGGUACCCAAAGAAUAAGCACCGGCUAACUUCGUG
This 492-nucleotide ribosomal RNA is filed under the name uncultured bacterium. RNAcentral's name for it is "partial 16S ribosomal RNA". It matches the Rfam family "Bacterial small subunit ribosomal RNA", at positions 29 to 507 of the family's 1533-position model. The record is from RNAcentral.